This 460-nucleotide ribosomal RNA is filed under the name uncultured bacterium. RNAcentral's name for it is "partial 16S ribosomal RNA". It matches the Rfam family "Bacterial small subunit ribosomal RNA", at positions 341 to 792 of the family's 1533-position model. RNAcentral also lists the same sequence under 1 other name. The record is from RNAcentral.
ACGGGAGGCAGCAGUGGGGAAUCUUCCGCAAUGGGCGAAAGCCUGACGGAGCAAUGCCGCGUGAGUGAAGAAGGCCUUCGGGUUGUAAAACUCUGUCCUUAUCGAAGAGAGCUAGAUGUGUGAAUAAUGCAUUUAGAGGACGGUAGAUAAGGAGGAAGCCCCGGCUAACUACGUGCCAGCAGCCGCGGUAAUACGUAGGGGGCGAGCGUUGUCCGGAAUCACUGGGCGUAAAGGGCGCGUAGGCGGUCUGUUAAGUCAGUUGUGAAAACUAAGGGCUCAACCUUUAGCCUGCAACUGAUACUGGCAGACUUGAGUAUGGAAGAGGAGUAUGGAAUUCCUAGUGUAGCGGUGAAAUGCGUAGAUAUUAGGAGGAACACCAGUGGCGAAGGCGAUACUCUGGGCCAAAACUGACGCUGAGGCGCGAAAGUAUGGGGAGCAAACAGGAUUAGAUACCCUGGUA